This is a non-coding RNA of Trichonephila inaurata madagascariensis, 73 nucleotides long. NCBI's taxonomy places the organism in Eukaryota, Metazoa, Arthropoda, Arachnida, Araneae, Nephilidae. The record is from the annotation of a GenBank genome assembly.
GUCCCUGUCGCGCAAUGGAUAACCCGUUGGACUUCUAAUCCAAAGGUCGUGGGCUGGAUGCCUACCUGGGAUG